RNAcentral lists this long non-coding RNA (206 nucleotides) under Brassica napus (rape). Its description in RNAcentral is "long non-coding RNA (BNAP_LNC006812)". Lineage: Eukaryota; Viridiplantae; Streptophyta; Magnoliopsida; Brassicales; Brassicaceae. The record is from RNAcentral.
AAUAUAACGGUAACAUGAUUCGUUGUAAUGUCGAUGUAACGUUUACGACUAUUUUCGCUUUCCACGUACUUUCGUCGUAAACUUACCUGGACUUUACGACGAAACAGUUUCGUCGUAAAGUUCCAUGGAGUUUACGACGAAUUUUGGUCUCGUCGUAAUUGCGUUGUAAACACCUUGCAAAUUUACGAGGAAAUAUUUUCGUCGUA